AACGCUGGCGGCAUGCUUAACACAUGCAAGUUGAACGAAGGCCCGGGGCUUGCCCCGGUCACCUUAGUGGCGGACGGGUGAGUAACGCGUGGGAACCUGCCCAGGGGCGGGGAAUAACCAUUGGAAACGAUGGCUAAUACCGCAUACGUCCUCAGGGAGAAAGGCUUCGGCCACCCUUGGAUGGUCCCGCGUCUGAUUAGCUUGUUGGUGAGGUAACGGCUCACCAAGGCGACGAUCAGUAGCUGGUCGGAGAGGAUGAUCAGCCACACUGGGACUGAGACACGGCCCAGACUCCUACGGGAGGCAGCAGUGGGGAAUAUUGGACAAUGGGCGAAAGCCUGAUCCAGCAAUGCCGCGUGAGUGAAGAAGGCCUUAGGGUUGUAAAACUCUUUCGCCGGUGAAGAUGAUGACUGUAGCCGGUAAAGAAGCCCCGGCUAACUCCGUGCCAGCAGCCGCGGUAAUACGGAGGGGGCUAGCGUUGUUCGGAUUUACUGGGCGUAAAGCGCGCGUAGGCG
RNAcentral lists this ribosomal RNA (515 nucleotides) under uncultured bacterium. RNAcentral describes it as "bacterial SSU rRNA". It matches the Rfam family "Bacterial small subunit ribosomal RNA", at positions 32 to 577 of the family's 1533-position model. The record is from RNAcentral.